Molecule: long non-coding RNA, 20130 nt
Filed under: Coffea arabica (coffee)
Lineage: Eukaryota; Viridiplantae; Streptophyta; Magnoliopsida; Gentianales; Rubiaceae
Description: long non-coding RNA (CARA_LNC003913)
Source: RNAcentral
GGCUCUCAUUUACGGGGGGCCUGGAACUGAUUUCAGCUGAAUUGAUUCCACUUUAAUGGGUGGCAGUCCUUUUAGGUCAGUUAAUUUGUUUAUGCCAUAAGCUUCCUUACUUCGAUUUCCUGUGGCAUUUUUAUGCUACACACACUUACUUUCCAGUUUCUUACUUUGGAGUUUAGAAGGGAAUAUUUAUUUUCUUUCCUUCAGAGGUUUCAUUUCCUUUCUCGCUUCCUUCAUUCUACUUGAUCCUCAACUACCUUCAUUCCAUUUUGUUAUGGACCAGUUUCUUUGGUGACAAAGGAUACUCUAUUUCUUCCAUUGCCAAUUGUUUUUUUACCUUAUCUUUUACCAGUUAAUGUUUUUUCCAAGUCUUCUCAUGGUGUAUGGUUCUGUUAGUAACCUGGGGAAUGAUUUUUUAUAGUCUUCCAACCCAGUUAUUGCACUUCUAAUUUUGUAAAAAUUCUUUUUUUUAUUGAGUUUUUAUUCCAGGGAAAUGAAAUUGAUUUGGUCUUUUGAGGUUUUGGUGCAAUGAAUCUUUUGAGGCUCAGUCUUUUAAGGUUUCGUUGGAAGGGAAUCUCUGAGGAUCAUACAUUCAUGGAUUUCGAAGCUUUGUGAAAGUACUUCUUGAAUAUGUUUUUGUGGAUAAACAGGUCUUUUGGUUGGAUUUUUGUGUGGUUUAUGGGCUUCUUUGUGGUGUAUAAUUUACUAAGUGUUGUUACCGGUCUUGCAAUAGGCAUAAGUUAUGUUGGAAUUUUAUUUAUGUGACAUUUCAAUGAGAACAUGAGCGUGAGAAAAUCAUGGAUUGGCAAAACUGCAUAGCAUGAAUGAUUGGAUAUGACUAGAAAAAUCUUGUGUAAUGUUACCUGUUGCUGUUUUGCAUUUUCUUCUGUCAAGUUAGUAACUUAAAUCUUUUUUCAGUGAGCAUGACAAUCUUAAGAGAUUGAGAUUGUUUGCUUUUCAAGUUAUUCGUUUCUUCCUGCCGAAAAUAGUGUGCACUUUCCAAGCAUUCUCCUUGUCUUAUGCAUUUAGUGCAUCCUCUUGUUCCAGUGCAUCUAUGGUGACCAUUCUUAAAAGUAUGUGCUAUGUAUUGCCAAAAGCCCACUUACAUGAAAAACUUUGCUGUAAAGCUGCAUUUAUGUAUUCAAGAGCUUGUCUAUUGCUGUUCUUAGUUGUGCUUGACUAGUGUGACUAGAGUCGUGUUUGUCAAAGUGAAAACCUUUUAAAGUCUAAUGUAAUGUACUGCUUUGGAGCAUUAAUGUUAUAAAUUUUCUCUCUUUUGCAUGUUUCUUUUGGCUGGUCAAAUGAACUUUAUCAUUGUUAGCUCUGAAGUUUUGAUCAAUGGAUGAGUAAACAUUUAUAUACCUUAGAAGAAAGGUGUACUACAGAGAAGUGCAGUUGUGCCUCUUACUUAGUGUACUAUUGGUGUCUCAAUACUUCAUUUGGCAUUCCAGUGUGCGAUGCAGUAGCUGUCUUAUCAAACUGAUAAUAUCUCUGUAACUCACAGUUUCCUUUUAAUUUCUGGUCAUUCUUACCUUUAUCCAUCAUUUGCAGCUCCCAAUCAGAAUACUCAAGGAAAUGAGGGUGAAAGUGAUCCAAAUAAUACAACAGUGCGUAGCUUGUCUUAGUUAUGGAUUUACUUUUGUUACCUGUGUGGUAGUUAAGACUGUUUCUUGUAAGUGCAGAUAUUUGUGGGUGGAUUGGACCCAAGUGUGACAGAUGAGAAUUUGAGGCAAGUAUUUGGCCGAUAUGGGGAAGUUGUACAUGUAAAGAUACCUGCAGGGAAGCGAUGUGGUUUUGUUCAAUUCACUAAUAGGUAACCUUUAAAUUUUGGGGGAAAAAUGUUGUGGUAAAUUUUGCAGUUCGUGAUGGCCUAUUUCUUUUGAUUUUUCUGUGCUAGGGCAUGUGCGGAACAAGCAUUGGAAAGCUUGAAUGGUACACAGUUGGGAUUACAAAGUAUUCGACUUUCAUGGGGGCGUAGUCCUUCCAACAAGCAGGUUUGGGCCAUCUUUCUGUCUCUUGGUACGGUUGAUAGUUGCAUAUAAUUGCAUAUCUUACUUUUCCUUGAUUUUGGACAGUCGGAUCAACCCCCGUGGAAUGGUGGAUGCUAUGGUUAUACACAAGGUUAUGAUGCAUAUGCAUAUGCUCCACCUCCGCAAGACCCAAAUGUAUAUUAUGGAGGUUACCCUGGAUAUACAAAUUACCAACAGCCGCAGCAGGUAGGAGAAUGCGAAAUGUUUUUAUGCGUUUUUUGUUUGUUGCUGAAUUAACCAGCAAGGGUGUUACUUUUUUAGUUGGUUUUGUUGGUUCAGGAAGUGAUGCAAACGUCCCUGGUUCUUGUCCUCCUUUGUUGAAUUUUUUUAGAUAGAUGAGCAACUGAAAUUCCUUGUGCUAAUAUUUGCAGUGAUCUAUUGUUGCAAGUUGCAAGCCUUGGCAGUCUACGCAACUUGGUAUAUGAAAGCCUCAGAGAUUGUUCAGGGUAUUUGCUUGCUAUUCACGCUCGUAACAUGUCCAAUCAAGAGAGUUGCGGUAUUUGGCUGAAUGAUAGUUUGCCGUUAUGGGAGGGCUAAGAACCAUAUGUGCUCUUAUAUAUUUCGUUACUUUAUGACUCUCCAUCAAUUUGGGAGCUGUUGGGGCGGGCGGGCUUGUUUCAUGGUGAUGAAGGUUUACAGUAUUGUUAUUAUGUCGAGGAUUUUGACUGGUUUAUCUCUAAUAGUGACGCUUAUAAUGCUUGCCAUCCUAAAUCUAGAAUUAUUGGUUUAAGUAUUGGUGUUUGUGGCUCUCCAAUGUCGUGUGUCACUGUCUGUUUGGAUUCAUGUCUUUCUCAAAAACUUGUAUUCGAAGUGUUAAAACACCCCAAAUGUAUUCCAAAUCUGCAAUACAACACUCCAAAUAUAUUUGAAAUAUACCUAUAACAUAAACACCAAAAAUUAACUGAAAAAGAAUCCACCACUUGUUUCUUCCACCUCCACCGUGACUGUACCUCCCCUUUCCCCCCCCCCCUUCGGGCCCCCCCUUCAUCCUUAGCUCCUCGUAAUAAUCCCGAUCCCUACCAUGUCCCUCCCUUCCUCCUUUUACCUCCUCAUCUCCUAUUCCUCUCUUUUUUAUGGCGCUAUCAUCUUUUCCUUCUCUUUUCUUUUUCCGCAUACCCCUUGUUCUCCCCUUUUCCUUUCCUAGAUGACUAGAUUCGAUUGCUGGGGAGGAGAGAAGGAAGUGGGGGAAAAAGGGAGACCAAGUGGAAGAAGGUGAAGAGAGGAAAUGGAGGAGGAGGAGGAAGCAGGAAGCAGGAAGCAGGAAGGGAAGUAGUGUUGAUGGAGGAGAGUGAGAUGGUAGAGGGGCACGAGAAGGGAGAUGAUGUUGGGUGGGAGGGAGGAGGGAAAGGAAGGAAGGUGGGGAUAAUUCUUAAAUUUUUUAGAAACAUCUCAAAAAUUUAAAAUUGAAAAAAAUGUCACAAUAUAUCCUUUCCUUACUCUUACCUAUACUAAAAGCGGGAGUUUGCAAUUUGAGUUCAAUUGAUUUGGUCCGCUUAUCAGGCUUGUGAUUGGUUAUUGCGAGUCCGAUUAUUCGUCACCAUUUUAUAUCGGAAUCGGACCUGGCAUAACGACAUAGUCACCGCCCAUCUUGAAAUGCACCGUGAAGAUUUUUUGGUAUCAUAUACGAUAUAUGAGGCUGCAAAUGAAUUGAGUCGAGUCGAGUUUUGACUUAAUUAAAACGAGUUUUGAUCUCAAUUUAAUUUUUCCAAACUUGAAUUCGAAUUCGAACUUGACGAACUCUCAAUAUAAAACUCGAGCUCGAUUUAAAAAAAAAUAAAUAUAAUUAUUUAUUUUUUUUUAAAUGCACCGUGAAGAUUUUUUGGUAUCAUAAAUGAGGUUGCAAAUGAAUCGAGUCGAGUCGAGUUUUGACUUAAUUAAAACGAGUCUUGAUCUCAAUUUAAUUUUCCCAAACUCGAAUUCGAAUUCGAACUUGACGAGCUCUCAAUGUAAAACUCGAGCUCGAUUUAAAAAAAAUAAAUAUAAUUAUUUAUUUUUUAAAAAAUAUAUAAAAUAAUAAUUUUUCUUAACAUAUAAUAAAGUAUUAGGGAUACAUAUGUAAUUUUAUUAUUAAAAUAAUAUAUAUAUAUAUCUUUACUAUACUAAAAGCGUCAGUUGGCUUAGCUACAGUGAAAAUGGGCCGGUUAUAGCGUGAUUUGUGUGAGCUUGAGGGGCAGUUUGGUCUUUUGCCAUUCAGUGGUGUGGCUUUGCUAUCCGCGUGGCUUUGUUAUGGGCACUGAAUAGGGAGCCGCCGAAUACACCAGCUACGCCUAACAUGUGAAAUGAGAAAUUCCAUUUCAACGAAAAUUUUGCCACUUUGGAUACAUUGAGCCCAACAGAGAUAGAGAGAGCGAGAGAUGGUCUGCACUCGUGGCAUCUACCUUUUGACUUUGAUUUUCAAACCCUCAUCUUACCUGGCCUAACAUUUUCAGUAUAGAUUGUAGAAGAAACAACUUACCAUGUUGGACGAAAUUCGUACUCAUUUUUCGUAGCCAUUUUGUAUGAUAAAAUAUUCAAUAAAAUUUAAAACCGUUAUAAUGGCUCGAUACUAGAGGUGACAAAUCAACCCACCUAAUUAAAUUUACCUAUACCGGUCCAUGAAUAGAUGGUAUAAGUUCAAAAUUUUUGAAUUAAAUUUUUAUAUUAAUUUUUAUAGUACUUAGUUCAAAUUUUUAUAUUCUUAUUAUUCAAUUAUUAAAUAAUAGAUAAUUUUGUAACAUAGAGUAUAAAUGAAAAAAAAAUGGUAAUUAAAUUUAUUGAACAUUAUAAAUAAAUAUUUAAAACUAAUAAUGGGUACAAAGAGUGGUAUAAAUUGAUAACUUGUUUUGCAAAAAUAAAUUUAAACGAGUUUACCAAAAGUUAAAAUAAAUAAGUUGUAAAUGGGUAAUUGAGUUACACAAUUCAUUUUUUGACUUACCCAUUUAUACCUAUCUAAUUAAAUGAGUAUAAAUGAGUUAAUUUACUUAUACCCAUUACCCAUUUUAUUCAACCCAAAUUCGUACUCAUUUUUCGUAGCCAUUUUGUUGACAAUAUUAAUAAAACUCAAACCAAUUGUUAUAAUGGCUCGAUACUAGAGGUGACAAAUCAACCCACCUAAUUAAAUUUACCUAUAUCGGUCCAUGAAUAGAUGGUAUAAGUUCAAAAUUUUUGAAUUAAAUUUUUAUAUUAAUUUUUAUAGUACUUCGUUCAAAUUUUUAUAUUCUUAUUAUUCAAUUAUUACUAGAGGUGACAAAUCAACCCACCUAAUUAAAUUUACCUAUAUCGGUCCAUGAAUAGAUGGUAUAAGUUCAAAAUUUUUGAAUUAAAUUUUUAUAUUAAUUUUUAUAGUACUUAGUUCAAAUUUUUAUAUUCUUAUUAUUCAAUUAUUAAAUAAUAGAUAAUUUUGUAACAUAGAGUAUAAAUGAAAAAAAAUUGAUAAUUAAAUUUAUUGAACAUUAUAAAUAAAUAUUUAAAACUAAUAAUGGGUACAAAGAGUGGUAUAAAUUGAUAACUUGUUUUGCAAAAAUAAAUUUAAAUGAGUUUACCAAAAGUUAAAACAAAUAAGUUGUAAAUGGAUAAUUGAGUUACCCAAUUCAUUUUUUAACUUAUCCAUUUAUACCUAUCUAAUUAAAUGGGUAUAAAUGAGUUAAUUCACUUAUACCCAUUACCCAUUUUAUCCAACCCAAACCCACCCAAGUCACCCAUUUCAACACCUCUACUCCAUACUUUAUAUUCAAGCCCAACAUUUUUGUUUUCCCACUUUAGCUUUCUUGCUUUGUUUUACCUUGAGAAACAAGAAUUUUCAUGAUAAACUGAAUUUGUUCUUCACUACGAUUUCCCUUGUGUUCCAACAAAGGAACGUUUAACUUAAAAUAAAUAUUUCAACCAGGGGAAAAAAAAACCAGUUUAAAAACAACUAAUAUAACGGUUGAUAUAUACAUACACUGAUACAUCUAUACCUUCUAUACAAAAUGACUUUCUAAUUAUCGAAUGCAAUCAUAUUACCGAUUAUCAUCGUUUAACCUACUCCAUAAAAUUAAAUUAAAUUAACACAAGUUAGGGCAACCUCGCGCGUAGCGCGAGGCCUAAAAAACUAGUAUACUAAAAGUGCCCGUUGGAGUUGCUACAGUGCUCAUGGGCCGGUUAUCCGGUAAUUUUGAGCAACUUCAGUGGCAUUUUCAUAGGCAGGCCGGUUAUCCGGUAAUUUUGAGCAACUUCAGUGGCAUUUCAUAGGCAGAUAGAUUGGUUAUGCUGUAAAUUUCGACAAUUCCAGUGGUAUUUCAUAGGCAUUUAUUUGGGCUUGCCCUCUUGCUCCAGAGUUCAACGCUAGAAUUCUUUCCCCUCUCCCUCCAGCGGCAUUUUUUAGGAAGCAUAUAUGUGCCAUAUAUAAAACUUGAUGCCCUUUACGGUGUUGCAUUGUUAGUUCUUUCUUCUUUUUUUUUAAAAUUUUUUUUGCCUUUAUUAUAAAGGAUAAAAUGGAUUUAUUCUGUAACAAAAUAAUAAAACAACAAUUUUAUCAUAACUUCGAAUCUUCCCAUAUUUUUACGUUCAAUUUCUCCAUGUUUAUCUACUAUAUUUGACACACAUUUCUUCAAUUUUUCUUUAUUAACAUCACCCAAAUUAAGUCCAUGCACUUGUUUCCCCUAUAAUACUUCACUUUUAUAAGAGAAUUAUUAUUACAAAUAUUUUUAUUCUAAUUAGUUAUAUACACAUCUGAGUGCGCCUUACUCACUAUUAUGUAUAACAAGAAAAGAUUUUUUGAACAUGUUUGAACUAAUUCUUGAUAAGAAAUUUCAGAAAAGUAAUGUACUACCUAACCUUUAGUUUUAGAUACUUUUAUUGGUAUUUUUUUCAUUCAGAGUUUUAGCUCUCUUGCCUAUGUAAUCUUGAGAGAAAGCCAUCUGAAAGCAACAUAUUGGAUGUGUUUCUUUCUUCAAUUGAAGACCUGGAUUUGGUGGUUUUAUAAGGUGAAGUUUUCACACUCUCACCUAACUGAUCUUGUUGAAACUUAUUUCAUUCUUGAUUAGAUACAAAUAGUGUGUGCAUAAUUUUAAAAAUGAUCAGCGUCACCAUAUUUAUGAUAUUUGUAUGUACUUGUACAUUUUAAAUGAAUGCAUCAUUUAUUUAUAGUAUCAAGAAUUCGCAAGGAUCUUAAGCCAAAAACUGACUAUCUAAGAGAAAAUUACAAAUCAAAUGAGUAAACGAGUAACAACAAUAUUCAAUUUACCUAAAGUCAAAAUCUCCACAUUUAUUAACACCUAUCAUGUAUUAAAUAUAUAACCAAUUUACAUUAAUCCACUUACCUUCAUUUGAUCUUGAUUAACAUAUAGCCAGGGCAUCCUCACGCAUCGCGUGAGGUUGAAAAAACUAGUAUUGUUAUAAGAAAGUUUUUGAUACACGAUAUUAUAGUAAAUUUUUGAAAAAUAUCUUGAAAAGCACUUAAUUCAUAGCCCAAUGGUAGACCAAUUAUUAGUUUGGAUUUAUGGCUGGCCUUGAAAAUGUUCAAGAUGGGAUGGUGCAUUCCGAACCCUUGUCAACCGCUAACGUGCAAUUGAAAGCAAGAAAAGAAUACGCAUAGUUUUGGGAAAAUUGUAUAGGUUUCUUUAGGAUUUCCUUGAAUCACUGAUUACUACAUACAUUUAACAAUGGAAGUAAUUUGAUUGAAAUUGUUGCAAUUCAACUCUUAUUUCAUAAUCUAAAAUUGAAUUUCAAUUUAAGAGUAUGACAUUAAAAGGGGGUUAUAGUAUCUGUCGAUAUUUUGAUUUCAUUUCCAAAGUGGGAAAAAAGUAACUAGGGGAUGAUUUAAUUUUUAUCAUAGCGACACGGAUUAAGGGUCUCUCUAGUUGAUUCUAUCUAGUUCAAUCAUCUUGUUGGUGUAAUUCUUACAAUUUUGGAUGUAAAGUCUUGUAGAUUUAAUAUAAUCAUUAAUUAAUAUAUGAGUUGACACAACUCACGUUUACAUCAAAGUUAUAGCAUUUUACAUCAAAUGUAGUAUGCUUUCCACAACUGGCCGAGAGUGGAUACAAUUUUUUCUGGAGAAGCCCCCGACACCAGAUGCAUCAAACUUGGAAAGCUUCGUUUUGACUUUUGAGAGAAAGCUGCAAUGGAAAACAAAAUUUGUCGGGAGAUGAAAGUUGAGGUAUGAAGUUGAAUGUUUCCAAGGACCAGCGAUACUUGGCUGACAGACAAAUCCCUGUUGAAAGGCUUUGACAGUUGGUUGGUUGCACGACAAAGUUGCACGGAUGCACCGUAUAGGUUUAAAAUUCAGGCUCGUAAAUGAUUUUGGAGUACACAAAAGAAAAAGUCUGCAUUGGGGCAAAUCAAAGACAAAGUCAAUACGUUUUCCAGGAUCUCUAAUUUGAUGGCUAUCAUUGCGCAUGGAAAUACUGUACUUUCAACACAUGUUAUAUUUGUUAAGCAACGAUUUUCACAGCCUAUAUAUAUAUAUAUGUAUGUAUGUAUGUGUAUAUAUAUAUUCACCAGAGUUUUUCCUUGCCUCAUUUUGUCGAUCCAACUAGGCUUGCAACCCAGCUCAUAGUAACAUUACAAAAAGAAUAACAAGGCGAGUAUAUACCGUUGUAGCUGCAUUCACUGGUCUAGUUCAAGAACUGAGGUUGUUGAUAUUGCAUUUACAAAUUACAACUGGCCUGGCUUUCCAAGAAUUUUAACUUCUAUCCUCCCUGUUCCGUUCAUAGCCCAAUUCCAAUACUUAUUGCUUCACAAGUAUAGACGUAGUUUGCGCUUCUCAGUCGAAUCUUUUCAGAAAAUAUAGCAGAAGAUGGGUGUUCCGCUCAAAUUGAUGCCUAUUCUAGUCUCAUUUUUUGUGUUGGUGAUAGGCGCUUCUCAAGCAACGUCCCGCUUGUUGCAUGAAUAUGAUGAAGCGGCAAUGGUUGAAGAGCAUGAAAAGUGGAUGGCAACUUAUGGACGUGUUUACAAGGAUGAUGCAGAAAAGGCAAAGAGAUUCCAGAUAUUCAAGAAGAAUUUUGAGUAUAUCGAAUCUUUUAACAAAGCUGGAACUAAGACUUACAGCUUAAGCAUCAACCGGUUUGCUGAUAUGACCAAUGAGGAGUUCCGGGCUCGCAAUGGAUACAAACCAUUUACUUCAUCGAAGUCAGCAUCAUUUAGAUAUGAGAAUGUUACAGAUGUUCCAUCUAGCUUGGACUGGAGAGAGGAGGGAGCUGUUACUCCUGUCAAGAACCAAGGAGACUGUGGUAAGUCAACAAAUCUCUCUCUCUUCUCUAUAUUUGUUUUCUCCAAUAAGAUGCCAUUAUAUCAUAACAGGACGUGGGAUUCGCAGGAUUAGUUUAACAAAGUUUUGGACCCAAUCUACAGGAUGCUGCUGGGCGUUUUCAGCUGUGGCAGCUACGGAAGGAGUUCACCAGCUGAAAACAGGUGAGCUGAUUUCGCUAUCCGAGCAAGAACUGGUGGACUGCGAUACAGAUGAGGAUCGAGGCUGCGAAGGUGGUUUAAUGGACUCAGCAUUUAGCUUUAUCAUCAAAAACCAUGGCCUCACAACUGAAUCACAUUAUCCAUACUUGGGGAUUGAUGGCAGUUGCAGUGCAAAUGAGGAACAUCCCCCUGCAGCAACCAUCAAAAGUUAUGAAGACGUCCCUGAAAAUAACGAAUCAGCCCUCUUGAAAGCCGUGGCUAAUCAACCUGUAUCUGUUGCAAUCGAUGCUGGUGGACAAGAUUUUGCGUUCUACUCCAGUGGAGUGUUUACAGGAGAAUGCGGCACUCAUUUAGACCACGGUGCCACAGCCGUAGGCUAUGGAAUAAGCGAAGAUGGAAUCAAGUAUUGGUUAGUCAAGAACUCAUGGGGUGUUGAUUGGGGUGAAGAUGGAUACAUCAGAAUGCAAAGAGACAUUCAUGAUGUGCAAGGGCUUUGCGGGAUUGCCAUGAAUGCUUCUUAUCCUAUUGCUUGAAGUUUUCUUAGAUUCAAAUCAGUUUUUUUUUUUUUUGCCCUCAUUUUUAUGGCGUAUUUAUUGAAGUUUAGUUGCUUACGGAUUUUUUUGCCAUUCGAUGGUAGCAAUCUCUUGCAUUUGACCCUUAACUUAGUUUUGGAAAGUUGUACUCAACUUACAAGCUUGUAUUUGCAAGAAAUGAAGUCUGAAAGAAUUACCAAAAAAAAAGAAAAGAAAGGGCUAAAGUCACUUCCUUCUGUUCUAAAUCCACACAAUUGAUCAUUAUUAAGUUGCAUUUGUAAUGAAUCUUGUACACAACUUAAAAAUAUGGGCGCGGAGAAAACUAAUUAGUCAGCACAGAGCGAUAGGAUCUUUGAACUAUGCCUCAACAAUGAUGAUUAGUUCCAACGCCAAGAUCUCUUCAACCCUUUCCUUAACCCUCAUAAUCAAAUAGCAUUUGGUCCCCAUAUUGCAAAUGUAUCAUUAUGCUAAUCACCAACGCAAGAUUAAAUUUAAGGGAAAAUCGUUCAAAACGUCCUUCACAUUUUACAAAAUAACUUUUUUCAUCUCUCACUUUUAAAAAUAUAAUUUUACGUCCCUUACAAAUUCACAUUGAUCAAAUUUGGUUCUUACUUAAGUUUUCGACUAAUUUUUGAUCGAAAUUCACCACGUGCCUUGCAUGAGAUUAUACUUUAAGGACAAAAUUAUCAAAUUAAAUUUUAUAUAAUUCGAUUACAACUUGGCACACUCGAAAAAAAAAAAAAAAAAGAGCUUACGCGGAAUAAAAAAGAAAAAAUGGGUAUUGGCAUUUUUUGAGAUCCUAAAAAAAUAAAAAGGAAAACAAAAGUCCGAGAAUAAAAUCAUAAAUACAAAUAUAAAGUUCACAUGGAAUAAUGAAGACAAAAUUGUAAUCAGGACAAGAAGCGUUCCUAAAAGGACAUUAUCCACCAUUGAGCGGAAAUUUAUUACCUACUGCUUCCCUUGCUUCUCUCUCUCUUCUUACUGUUUAUUGGUUCUUGGUUCCUAUUAAUUAAUGGUGAGUUGAAGCAAGUAAAAGAUCACAAAGUUAUGAAGCCAAAUCUGAAGACACUAGUAUCUGUAGUUUCAUUGGCAGUUGUUUCAGUGAUAAAUGUAACUGCUACGACCGGCGAUUACAUUCGACCUGCACCUCGGAAAAAUCUUCAGUUUCCAUGGAGUCCGAAGCAUUCUUCUCAUCCCCAACAGGUAAGAAAAGGGAUCAACUGGAAGGCCUUUCUUUUGUCCUUUAAACUAGUUUGCUUUUUGUUUUAGUGAAUUUUGGAUAAAGGGUUGUUAGCAAGUCCACUGCCUGUGAUGCUAUCAUAACGGGAUCUUGUUAAUUUUCUUGAGCUUUGAUGAAAAGAGUGUGAAUUGUUUCAAAGAAAGUGUGUGUACGUUUAAGUCUUCAGAAAUUUGUUGUCAAUUGGUGUUUGUCAUGGUUAAAGCUCAAGCUUAUUCAUCGAAAGAUGAUAUCUUUGUGGGAGACUUGUGAUCAGCUCACCUAUAUUAGUUGCUAAAAAUUGGAAAACAAAAAAGCAUAUAAAAUAAAAUAAAGGGAGCAUUCAGAAAGUGUAGGAGAGCUUAUAUUACUGUUUUCUGUAGGUAUUAUAUGUAUAGAUGUACAUGCGUGCUUCUUACUUCCUUGCAUGUAGCCGUCAAUAGUAAGAUUCAAUGCUUCAAGAGGUCACUGAUGUUGGAUUUCCAGCGCAUAAUGCACUCUUAGUGUAGCCAAAAGUUUGUGGAUGCUGUUUAUUGUUGCAGGAUUAUUUUGAUUCUUUCUUGUCAGGUUUAUGUAUGAAGGCUGUAAAGCUGCUUGUUCUUACUCAGGGAUAUUUUCGUUGCACAAUUUGACUUUCCUCUUCGCUCUUGUUGAGUUGCUGUAGGUUCAUAUCUCUUUGGCCGGGGAUAAGCACAUGCGUGUCACAUGGAUCACAGAUGAUAAAUCUGCUCCUUCAGUUGUUAACUAUGGGAUGUCACCUGGAAAAUAUAACUCUGUUGCUCAAGGAGAAAGCACAUCGUACAGUUAUCUUCUGUACAGCUCAGGGAAGAUACACCAUACUGUCAUUGGGCCACUGGAGGAUGACACCAUAUACUACUAUCAAUGUGGUAGAGAGGGUCCUGAGUUCAAGUUCAAAACCCCACCAUCCCAGUUCCCAAUCACUCUGGCAGUGGCUGGUGAUUUGGGUCAAACUGGAUGGACCAAAUCAACUUUAGAUCACAUAGACCAGUGCAUAUACGAUGUGUAUAUGCUCCCUGGAGACCUUUCAUAUGCUGAUUACAUACAGAGUAGGUGGGAUACAUUUGGUGAGCUGGUGCAGCCACUUGCCAGUGCCAGGCCUUGGAUGGUGACACAAGGUAACCAUGAAAAGGAGCACAUACUACUAAUCAAAAAGUCGUUUGCUGCUUAUAAUGCAAGAUGGAAAAUGCCAUACGAGGAGAGUGGAUCCAGUUCAAACUUGUACUAUUCAUUUGAUGUUGCCGGUGCACAUAUCAUCAUGCUUGGUUCAUAUACAGAUUAUGAUGAAUUCUCGGACCAAUAUAGUUGGCUGAAGGUUUGAACAUCUGUAUGCUUUUGCGCGAAAUUGCCUUUCUUUCAAUAAUUUUCCCACUACUCUUCCAAAUAAGGUAAUUAAAGUAUCAGGGCCACGGGUAUGAUUAGUGUCUUUCUGAAAUGUCUGACAUAAUCAAGGGCAGAGAAAAGGAGAGAUUUAUUUUCAUUACUUAUCCAUAUCGGUUUUGAGGAAUUGCUUUGAGGUCGCUCUGAAAUUUAAAUGUCAACAUGAAGCAGUACCGCUGUAGACAUUUAUGCCUAAGUGAAUCAUUGAAUCACAACCUUUGAUUGUUCUGAUGAGCUAGAACACAUGGAAUGUAGAUUCAGCAAAAAAUUUUAUAUGAGUUGUAUUGCUUAUGUUUCUUUUAAAACAAAUCUAUUCCAGGAUCCAUAUCCAUUACAAUAAUUUCAGAUUACUAAUCAAGUUCUUUCCUUUGCUUGGAAAAGUUUAUGGUUUGUCUAUAAAUUUCGUUUCCUCUAAGAUAUUUUUAACAGAAAGUCAUGCUCUUAAAUGAUUCUAAAAGCGCAUAUGUCGAGUAAUAGAAUAGGACAUAUGUCUUCAAUGAUUAAUUUUCUGAACCAAGAAAACUUAGUAGUUCACUGAACCUUGAAUUACAGGCUGAUCUUGCGAAGGUAGAUCGUGAGAAGACACCUUGGCUACUUGCACUAUUCCAUGUGCCGUGGUACAACAGUAAUGAUGCUCAUCAAGGCGAAGGUGACAACAUGAUGGCAUCAAUGGAACCUUUACUAAACGCUGCCGGUGUGGAUAUCGUACUUGCUGGUCAUGUGCAUGCUUAUGAACGCUCGGUAUGCCCAAAUUGGUUUAACUUCUUAUUUGGUCCCUUGUUUCUGAGUGAUCUGGAACCUAACCUGAUUAUUUGGUUCCUUGUCCGCAGCAACGUGUUUACAAUGGCAGAUCGGAUUCUUGUGGUGCUGUACAUAUAACAAUUGGUGAUGGAGGAAAUAGAGAAGGUUUAGCACAUCGGUGAGUCUUCCUCUUGAUCCCCUUGCACACCUAAGAAAGAUUAAAGAGAGCCUCUUUCAUGUAGUAUGGCUCUUUGGGUCGAGUAACUGAAUUGCAUCGUGAACAAGAGUUAUUGGUUUAAUGAAGCGUCCUUUUUUCUUUUUCUCUCUCUCCCGGAAUACUUCAAUUCCGUCGUACAUUCGCAACAAAUAUUUUCUGCGUAUAGGAAAAAAAAAAAAGCUUUUGGGGAAGUUGAAAAGGGAGUGACAUUGAUCCAAGCAGGGAUGUUUUUUGAGUGCGUGCCUGUGUUUGUUUGUGUGUCUGUCACAGAGAGAGGGGAAAGGGGGAGGGUGGGGAGGACUGAAGGAGUUAAACUUGAUGUUUUGAAACAUUGAUAUCUCUGUUGAGUCAUUAUUGAGUUUUACAAGUCACUUUUUGCAAUUCAUGUUCUUCCCUUUUCCUCUCCACAUUGACGUCUAACUAGUCUUGGGAAAUGAUGACAGGUUCAAAGAUCAACAGCCUGAAUGGUCAGUGUUCCGCGAAGCAAGUUUUGGUCAUGGUGAGCUCAAGAUAGUGAAUUCCACUCAUGCUUUCUGGAGCUGGCAUAGGAAUGACGAUGAUGAACCAGUGAGGUCCGAUGAGGUCUGGAUAACCACUCUAAGGAGUUCGGGUUGCAUUCUUGAAGAGAGUCGUGACUUGAGAAAGCUCCUAUUGCAGCCGUAAAACUGUUCUCUCAAGGGGGUGCCUAAUUAAAUGAACUACUGCACAAACUCCUGAAGCAGUGUAUAAUACCAGCAUAGUUAGAGGAGUGCAAAUCUGCAAGUGUUGUACUGUUAUUAUGUAUUGUAAGGUAUUGUAAGAACGGUAUGUACCUUCCUUUCUUCUGGAAGUGGACUGAAUCCUUAAAUUGCUGUAUAAGAAGAUUACUUACGGUAUGUGAGUUUAAAUCCAGGGUGUUAUUUUCUGAAGGUGGAUUGAAUCCUUAAAAGUACUCGGCACUUUGAAUUUAAAACCAGGGCCCUUGGGCAAAGCAGGACAUUAACGUGAUCUUCAUUAAUCUGGGUCCUAUGUCUUCUGGAACUGUGGAAAGUUCGAGGAUAAGAUUUUUUCAAAGGUAAGAGAAACUAGAUAUCAGCUUUUGAGUACAGUUUGAUUGGUUCCUUCAAGGGAUCCGGACAGACAGCAAGAAAAUCCUCAUCGUGUUGCCGACAUCCAAAUUUGCCAUCGCCCUUGACAUAAAAGUGGUAACAAGUAUUACCAAAAGAAGAACUUGUUAUAACUGAUCAAGUACUGUACUUAGAAAUGGUGAAUAACGUGACGGACGGUACCAAGAUUUUGUUAGCUACUAGGAAGCGUCUGGAGCUGGUAUAUGCUGAGCUGCGCAAACUCUGUGUGUGUGUGUGUGAGAGAGAGAGAGAGACAACACACAGCAUCAGUAGUUGCAAUCUGUUUGAUAAAUAAAAUUUGGACGAAAAGAAAAAAGGUUUUUACGCAACAAUGGCAUCGUUCCACAGCGGGACACUAAAUACGAAUGACAAAAUGGGAGGCGAUUACUCUACAGUCUAAUAUAAAAUUGGUACUCCAAUCCGUUAGCUAUAUAGCCUAUAAGAUUCCACCUUUCUACCGAGUGCUUUCAAUUUUUAACCUUUCAAUCAUAUCAUGUGCCAACAACCUAGGACUCAAAACUGCGAAUAGGCAAAUUAUCAGCCAUAAAGUCAGGAAGACCUCAUCCCAGAAUAAAGCAGUCAGCUCAUGCUUCCCAAAUCUGGUUGGUGAUUAAUGGAGGAAAUGAAGCAAGAUGUAAACCCAAGUUAAUGAGCUCAACUCCAAGUAUACGACUUUCUACUUCUAGCAUCUUUUUAAGUUGCAAGUUCCACUGCACUUGAGCUGUAUAUCUGAUCAUUCCUUCCCCGCCAAAGUAUUAUUUGUUCGUCCUUGAACAAGAUAGGAGUACAAGGUACCAGAUCCUGCAGCAGUGUAAGCAAUGGGAAUGAGAAAUGCAGCAUCAGACGUACGGGUCAACCAAUUUGAGACAAACAAAUUCCAUGUAAGAUAGUUAUUGCUCUCCACAAGAGCCAUACCCGUAACUUAACUCCUAUCCUUUUGCAGUCACUAGUCCCCACGUGUGCACAAUCUAGUCUAACAACUUCCUUGGUCUUAAAUGCAUCUCUCACUCUGUCCACCACAUUCACAUACACACCAUUCCUGGCUGUAGAAAAGAAGCAAAAACUAUUACCAGCUCUACAUAACAAAUAAAGCAGCAUUUAAUUUCGCGAGUUUAACCAUGAGAAGAAAUGGGCAGACAGUAUAAAACUCCCGAAACUAAAUUCCCUUACUGAGUUUCAUUAUGGGAUCAGAGUUGAGCCCUUUGUUUCUCAUCUCCUUUGCCUCGUCAAAUGUCAGGCCAUCAGCAACAGGCUUCACAAGCUUUGGAUAUAUUGGUGCAUAUGGCUUCCACAGCAUCAAAGGAAUGACUGGUCUAUUUUUAGGAUCAUAGUUCCGACCUCUGUAUAGCAGGAGAACGUUACUCUGACGAUAAAUUAUCAUCCCACCAGAUUUAUCCUACAAGCGCACUGUGAUCCUGAUGAGCACAAACCACAGAUAGACUAAAUAAAGAAAUGAAACACUUUUAAGGUUUGAGAUUAACAGGUAGUUUACAGUUCCAAACCUCGAGAUGAAAACAAACAUUGUCCAUGUCAAGAGUUGGCACCCCUAAGCACUUAAUCCUCACAGCUUCAGCCCUCUUCCAAUGGUUAUGAAUGUCUUCCAGCAUGUUGUGAGUAACUCCUCCUUUCCCUUUAUCAAAUUAAGUAGAUGGAAAACCCAAUUCAUUAUUCUUUACAACUAGAGCCUAGCAUGAGUUUUCAUAAUAUGCAUAAUUCCCUCAUCCUGAAAACUAAACACAGUAUUAAGCAAGAAUCGCAACCCAAUAAAAUCUCAACUCCCAACUCAUCACCACUGAAUCCUAUCACGCACUAACAUAUUGAUAUUCAAUAACAGGGGGAGCCUAAAACAAACUUUUCAGCCUCUAAAAUCAUAUUCCAUAAUGCCUUGGCUGCUUAAAAGUUUUCCUCAAACAUAAGUUCAGAUACCUAAUAAAUUAUCAGCAAGAGAUAAAGCACUUGACCCAAGCUCAAAGGAACGUCCUUGGACUUGGUUUGAUUAGUAAAUCAAGCUCUAAUUACUUUUCCUAGCAAAAGAGUGAAUUUUUUUUUUUAAUCAUCAGAAUCAAAAGGAAACAAAAUUUGAAAAUACCUAGAUUGAUUUGGCGAGAACAAUCACUAUGCCUAUAUUUCUCCACGAGCUCUGCAAUCUCCUCCUCCAUUAAAGGUUCCCCAAGAACCUUAUUCCGUUGCUCGGCCAACUUCUCCGAAUCCACAGACUCUUCCGCCGGGGCCGACGUCCCGGUCCAUUUCCGGUCAAGCCGACCAGGACCAAAAGGAGAGAACCUCGGCGGUUCGCGAAACCCGAUUGGCUUCACAUCCGGGUUGGUCUCAGAGUAGGAGUACUUGAAAUCAAAGGGUAGGUCCGACUUUACCGGAAAAUUCAGGGCAUUUCGGGAAUCAAGCACAUUCGAGGAACCCUUUUUCCCUCCUCGAGCUUUCUUUUGUUCAUUUUUCUUCUUGUGUUGUCUCCCGGCCCGGGGUUUAAGGAGGGUUUUGGAGGUAGCUGAGAAUGGAGGGUCGUAAAUGUCGUCGUCUUCAUCAGAUAACGGAGAGUGGCUCAGAAGUCGAGAGACACAGAGCAUUGGGGAUGAGGGUAAGGGCGUGAUUUUGGGUAGGCCUCGAGAGGUUGUCCGACGCCACGCGAAGAGCUUCAGCAUCGACAAAUGCGAUGUCCGUCAGGUGUCGUCGCUCGCCAGGUGAAAUGAAGAAAUUAGUCUAGUCCACGCCACUCUUGGGUACAACCGUACAAGACUUGCUGCUGGCUUCUCUCCAAGUUUUGCCAAGGGUUUUGGGCCUGGUUGGAACUGGGCUUAAAAUUGGUACUUUCAUUAGAAUAGGACGUGGAUUUGGAUUGCACUUUGUUGAACUACUCAGUCGUUUAUCAAGCCUAAAUUUACAGUAUUCAGUGCUUUGCCUUAUUCAUGUUAAAUUUAAUCGAGAUUUGUGCUUACUGGAGUUCACUGUCUGAAUUUGUGAAGUUAGUUAACUCUAAUUCUUGUUAGGGGUUGGUCUAAUGAAGUAACAAAUUAAUGUUGGACAAGUUCCUAUCAAACUAAUCCCACCUCGAGGAUAAAUGUUGGUUGGUAUUCAAUUCCUAUUGUUAACAAAUAAGGUGCUUAAAGAUUGAACCUAAUUUACCAAAUUGGUUGCAUGGUUAAUGUUUUACAUUACUAAAUUAAAAAUUGCAGUGGAUACCUUAAUAGUUAUCAAGAUAUUUUGCCUUAUUGAGUUUCAUCUUGAUUAGGUGUGUAAACAAGUCUAAUUAAAUUGAACAUUUCAUUGUUUAAAUUUGUUUGAUUAUUUUAACGAGUUUGAAAUUUUGUUCAAACUUAACUUGUUUAUUCAUCAAAUCAAGUUUGAACGAGCUCUUUAUCGAGUUUGAAUGUUAUCGAAUAUGAAAAACUAUUUAAUCUUGACUUUGAUUAGUUGGCGAAUCAAACUCGAAUGAACUAUUACCAAGCUGAGUUCGAUUCGAUAGUUGGUUCAUCUUUCAGCCUUAAUCUUGACUUGCUAUGAGUUUUUAAUGUUAAAGGCAUGAGAUGGGGUUACUUAGUUAAAGAAGUUACUAGGCCUUUCCUCGAUGUAUAUACUAUAUAACAACACAUUAUUCUUCCGUGUAAUUUGAGAGGUAAUGUGCAGAAUAUGUAAAAGCAUAAAAUGCUGAACGCUAACUUAAAGAACACAAGAGGGCAAGAAACUGUCAAUUAGAUCCCAACAAUUUAAUGAAGAGUCCCAUUGUGAAUAUGGAAAACUGAAAUGAUGACAUCAGUGCUCAAGAUUGUGAAGGCUUUACAGAGAAUUUGCUCAAUCUUUCAUCUUUGCAUUGCCUCUGAUCUCCGACCAUGGAUUUAAAGACCUCUAGCAGACCAUCCAAUUUCUCAGGGUCUUCGCCCAAAGCCUUGAGUGCAUAUACAAUGCUCUCAAUAGUCGACAGACAACCGGUCUUUGGCUGAUGCCUCACUUCACUAUACAAGCUCAGCUCAUCUAAAUCCAAUUUCAAAUGAGGCAAAAGCUUCAACCAGGGAUUCUCAUUGUACAUUCUCUUGGCCUUAGCCCAUGUUCCAUCCAACACAAUCAAGUUCUUCACCUCGAAAUUAUUAGCCUCAAUCCUCACUGCUCUUUCACUAGGAAAAAGCAAUACUGAUCCGGGGGGAACCUUGAUUUCAAACUCCUGAAACUCCUCGUAUUCAUCAAUUCCAUGCAACUGCUUUCUCUGAAACUUAACUACACUGAACCCUUUUCCUAAAUCGUUACCAGCUAUUUGAGAAGCCAAUAGCUGAUCAAACUUGUUCUGUUUCUGCAUUUGGUUACAUAAAGAUGCAAUAGCGCCGUACUUCUCAAUAGUAAAAGCAACAACAGCAUCUCCUGAACAUCCAGAAACUGCUUCAGUUGGACUAAAAGCUGGUCCUGAGACACAUUCAGUGAUUAAAGAUUCACUAUUGGAAGCUGUAACACAACCAAAAUCAUUUCUUUUACUAAAAUCCUCAUCAGAGUCAGCAAGAUUAGUCCUUUUCUCUUCUGGCCUCUCCGUUAACUUGACGAAAUGAGAACCUUUCUCUGAUCCAUUACAUUGAAUAGGCCACUGAACAGAAUCCCACUUUCUUUUACCAUUUCCUAUUCCUCCAAAAUCAGUGAUAUUCCUAUCCCAAUGACUCGAACCCGUUUUAGAAUCCGGAUAGCUGAAGUCCAAGACGAACCGGCCUUCAAAAUUGACAUCAGAGACUGAAACUACGGUGAGAUUUCUUAGGCCAAGGGAGGCUAUUCUUGUAGAAUUCAGGGGGUGCUUUUUCUCUAGGCCGUGUUGGAGGAUUGUGACGGCGACAGAGUUCUCGAGCCUGGGGGCUUUUAAUCGGGUACAGAGGCAAAUUCGGGCGGGCUUGGAGCAUUUCGGGCACAUGGGUCUCUUUGAAGAACCCGAUUUAGUCGCCAUUGCUGCAGUUGAGGUUAGGGUUCCCUGAAUGUAGCUUGAACGAAUUUGUGACGGGUUGAGAAGAAAAUAAAGUAGAUGUAGCCUCCGUAGUGGCCAGGUUCGGAUCUGAAAAUGAACCUGCAUUAGUUCACGGAGCAGUCCAUACGAAACGGGUUAAGUAGACGGAGUCAGGUAAAGGCGUGGAACAGAUUUGGGCCUUCCUUGGGUUUGUUCCGUUAAUCAGCCUCUAGUUUACCAUCCUGCCCCUGUAGUAGGUAGCUGCAGGUAAAGUUUUGGGUUUUGGCUCUUGACCAAGAAAUAAAGCAACAGGCUCGUGCCCACCACAGCACCCCACUGGCCCCUCCAAAUUUCGCAGCUGAAUUUUUCAGAAAAACCACCCUCAGAUAAAUUUCUUUCUUGAUCUGGAGAAGAAAGGCCUCCAAUUUCUCGAAUUCUCUCAAUCUUACUUCCAAAACCCAGUUGGUGAAAAAUGCAUGACUUUUGCUUUACGAUUCCGUAUGGCCUGAUUCUUGUUGCUGGUGGCAUCGUCGGAUAUGCCAGGAAGGGAAGCACGGCUUCACUGGCUGGGGGUCUUGGCACGGGAUUAGUCCUCCUCUU